This is a long non-coding RNA of Engraulis encrasicolus (European anchovy), 926 nucleotides long. RefSeq lists it as uncharacterized. The transcript is spliced from 3 exons. Lineage: Eukaryota; Metazoa; Chordata; Actinopteri; Clupeiformes; Engraulidae. The record is from RefSeq and is a predicted model, not a curated record.
UUGUACUUCAUUUGUUGUACUUCAUUUGUUGUACUUGUGUUGUUGUACUUAUUUUGUUGUACUUAUUUAGUCUGUUAUGGCAUAAGUGAAGAGAGAAGAGGGAACCCAGAGAGAAUGUGCUGGGGGAUGUGGUGACGGGUGACAGCAGUUAGAGGGCCCUCGGCGACAGGACAUAGGAACCAGAGGGCCCCUAGGCCAUGUGGUACAGCAACCAGAUGAGUCACCAGCAGUGUUGGGUGACCACAAAGAUGACCUGACAAUCUAUGAAGAACUCCUGAUGACUGCACUCAAGUACCAUAAUUGUGGUGGAUCCUCCUGCUGAAGGAGAACGGGGACGGCACCUGGAGCCAGGCGUUUCCUUUGGCCCUUUAAGAGAGAACCACAAGUUGUGCCUUCACAUAUAAAACUGUAAAAAAGUUGCAUUGUUGUUGAGAUGCUUGAAAGUUGUGUUUAUGUGUGUCAUUGGGUGCACAGGUGCAGCAUUAACAAGUAUACAUACUUUGCAAAUGAGGUAUUUCGGACUGAAAUGGUCCUCGCAGACCACAUAUCCUCCUUUUUUUCCCUCCUCAGUUGUCAUUUUUACUCGAAGGUCUGCCCUUCUUGCGUGGUAGAGCCACUUUUCACGCCUGUAAAGAUUACAGUUCCAAUAAAGUCUCACUGUUUUAUACACUAGUGUUGUGAGUGAAUGAAUUACCCAUUUAUGUAUUAUGUAUAAGAAGUUAAUAUUUUGUUUAAUUCACAAGUAUAUUUAGUUAAGUUAGCCUAUGUGCAGUUUGCAGUAUGUGUUGGUAAUGUUGCAUUUUAAAAUGCCCCCCCUACAGAUUACAAUGACCAAAACUGGAAGGAUGUUUCUUAAUAAAGUCUCUCAAUUUUUGAGUGUAGUAGCUGUAAUCUGAUUACCACCUAUUGAACUAGUAGGCCUAACU